AGAUGGCGACCGGCGCACGGGUGAGUAACACGUAUCCAACCUGCCGAUAACUCCGGAAUAGCCUUUCGAAAGAAAGAUUAAUACCCGAUGGCAUAGUUCUUCCGCAUGGUGGAACUAUUAAAGAAUUUCGGUCAUCGAUGGGGAUGCGUUCCAUUAGGUUGUUGGCGGGGUAACGGCCCACCAAGCCUUCGAUGGAUAGGGGUUCUGAGAGGAAGGUCCCCCACAUUGGAACUGAGACACGGUCCAAACUCCUACGGGAGGCAGCAUG
RNAcentral lists this ribosomal RNA (268 nucleotides) under uncultured bacterium. RNAcentral describes it as "partial 16S ribosomal RNA". It matches the Rfam family "Bacterial small subunit ribosomal RNA", at positions 86 to 353 of the family's 1533-position model. The record is from RNAcentral.